GGCCUUAUGGUCUAGUCGCAUGAUUCCUCGUUUGGGUGCUGGGUUCAUCUCCAGACUAAUCGAGGAGGUCGCCGGUUCAAUUCCGGCUGAGGCCC
Non-coding RNA from Termitomyces sp. Mi166#008, 95 nucleotides. NCBI's taxonomy places the organism in Eukaryota, Fungi, Basidiomycota, Agaricomycetes, Agaricales, Lyophyllaceae. The record is from the annotation of a GenBank genome assembly.